GGCACAUACACCUCCUGGCAUGCACUGAGACCAACUCCCAGCUUGGGGAUACCCAGAUUGUCCUUGGAGGAGAGGAGGUAACACAAGCCAAUAUCCUGAAUCCCAGGCUUGUGACCAGCCACCAAACCGGUACCCAAAGGACAGGAGUGGUCCAAGCAGCAGUAGCAAAUGUCAUCUCCCACUAAACCUGCCCAGAGGAAAAUGGAGAAGUAUACUCAAAGAUGGUGUUUGCCUACCUCACAGUGCAAAGCAAAGUCUCAGUGACAUGACUCCACAUUUUUAUUUUGCACUUCAGAUUGUCUCAAAUAUUUCCAGUGGAUGGUAAAUGCUGUCUUCUGUAACAAGUUCUCCUGAAGCCUUACUUGAUCAUGAUUACAAGGUAAAUCUCAUAAUCAGAGACUCUUCUAAAUGCUGAAGGAUUGCUGGGGUUCAGAAGGAUCUAUCUCAGCUUAUAUGUAACUCAAUUUCAAACGAGGAUCAAUAUUCUUCAUAAAUAUCCUAAAACUUACUCCGGUCAGUGGAUAAAACUUUUCUAGAGAAGAAAGUAUACUUUUGUUGUUAUAGAAUUUGAAAAAGAACAUGAACUUAGAAGGGUUUCAGUCUCCUUUUGAGAGGGAAGUUCUUUAGAAGUUAUGGAAAAUAGACUUUCUUGAAAAUACAUUUCUAUACAAAAGGAACGUCAAGUAUUUCUGAAAAUGUGAGAAUAGAGAAAGAGAACAUUUUCCCAGAGCUGCAAAUCACUGGAGGCUGCCUUCCAGGAGAAGAAACUU
Long non-coding RNA from Gallus gallus (chicken), 770 nucleotides. NCBI's taxonomy places the organism in Eukaryota, Metazoa, Chordata, Aves, Galliformes, Phasianidae. The record is from Ensembl.